GGAGAGAUGGCUGAGUGGUUGAUAGCUCCGGUCUUGAAAACCGAUAUAGUGCGGAUAACUAUCGAGGGUUCGAAUCCCUCUCUCUCCC
Molecule: transfer RNA, 88 nt
Filed under: Monotropa hypopitys var. americana
Lineage: Eukaryota; Viridiplantae; Streptophyta; Magnoliopsida; Ericales; Ericaceae
Description: tRNA-Ser
Rfam family: tRNA
About the family: Transfer RNA (tRNA) molecules are approximately 80 nucleotides in length. Their secondary structure includes four short double-helical elements and three loops (D, anti-codon, and T loops).
Source: RNAcentral